GACGAACGCUGGCGGCGUGCCUAAUACAUGCAAGUAGAACGCUGAAGGAGGAGCUUGCUUCUCCGGAUGAGUUGCGAACGGGUGAGUAACGCGUAGGUAACCUGCCUGGUAGCGGGGGAUAACUAUUGGAAACGAUAGCUAAUACCGCAUAACAGUAGAUGUUGCAUGACAUUUGCUUAAAAGGUGCAAUUGCAUCACUACCAGAUGGACCUGCGUUGUAUUAGCUAGUUGGUGAGGUAACGGCUCACCAAGGCGACGAUACAUAGCCGACCUGAGAGGGGGAUCGGCCACACUGGGACUGAGACACGGCCCAGACUCCUCCGGGAGGCAGCAGUAGGGAAUCUUCGGCAAUGGACGGAAGUCUGACCGAGCAACGCCGCGUGAGUGAAGAAGGUUUUCGGAUCGUAAAGCUCUGUUGUAAGAGAAGAACGAGUGUGAGAGUGGAAAGUUCACACUGUGACGGUAUCUUACCAGAAAGGGACGGCUAACUACGUG
This 495-nucleotide ribosomal RNA is filed under the name uncultured bacterium. Its description in RNAcentral is "partial 16S ribosomal RNA". It matches the Rfam family "Bacterial small subunit ribosomal RNA", at positions 28 to 507 of the family's 1533-position model. The record is from RNAcentral.